GGAAGAGCUGGGGCAGAGAGAGAAACAACAGCUUCUUUGUCUGGUUCUCUCAGAAGCCAACUCUGAGGCAAGGAUUCCUAGGAAAGACUAUCUUAAGAGUGAGAGGUGGAAUUUUAUUAUCUAUGGAGGAAGGAAUCUUCCUAGUGACUGAGUCCUGUCUUCUUCCUUCAAUGAGAAAGACAGCUGUGAUUGAUUAGUGAUGUCUGCCUUGGCCCAGGAUGGGAGACAACAGUACCUAUACUGCACAUUGUACAUCCCUGACCUCAGGAAACCUCAGCAGUCAGAAGGAGUUCAAGCAAUGUGGGACUGCUCUAUUUGCUCCCUUGACUGUGAGUGAUUUAAAGAUACUGGGUCUUGCUCCUUCACCCAAACUGGAGUGCAGUGGCACGAUCGAUCACAGCUCACCGCAGCCUUGAACUCCUAGGGCUGACACCAUCCUCCCGCCUGAGCCUCCUGAGUGGCUGGAACUACAGGAGUGCACCACCAUGCACCUAAUUGGUAUUUUAAAUGAUAACAACCACACGAAUAAUAUUAACAAUAAUGAUGAUGGUGAUAAUGACAGCUGCCACUUAUAUCCAUGGGCCAAGCAUUGUGCCACGCAUUUUGCUUACAUCUUCACACAAAAUCUACCAGGGAGGGAGUGUCUUUAACUGUCAUUUUACAGAUGGGGAAACUGAGGCUCUUAUGGGGAAGCCACUGGCCUGAGGUCAAGCACUGGAAUGUGACUGAGCCAAAAUGUGGCAGCAGAUCUGACUAUCGGCCUUUGUGGUUCACGAUUAUUGCCUCCAUUACAGUGCUGCCUGUGUGCUGGUUCUCGCAUGACAGGGAGGGUUGUGAGUAGACAGAGGGGUUGCAGCAGGACUGGCCCCUACCGUGUCAAAAGGGACAGGUCACAGGCUGAGCAGGAUGGGGCGGCAGGGGCAGGCUGCCUCCCCACACGCAGAGGUCCCACCCCAGCUCCCUACCAGCAGCAGACUGGGAGCCCUAGUGUGCCCAGCGCCCCCAUGAUUGGCAGCCUGCAGAUGGCAGGGGUGCCUUGGAAUUUAUUAUCCAAGCAUGCCUUUCCGAGGGGGCCUCACUGCCUGACACUGCUUUAUCGGAAAGCUGGGAAUGGUUAGCUGAGCCCAUCUGUUAGCCAAAGAGGGGAACUCAGUGGGUGGGGAAGUCUGUGGAGUCAUUUAAAAGGAAUUUCUCUGAUGCUGAGGCCAGGGCAGAAGGUUAUCUGCCCGUGGGCCGUUGGGCUGCCUGGUUUGGGGUAUUGGGGGCUUGGGGGUGGUGUGUGUGUGUUUGGUGGGGGACUCUCGUUGCUUGUUCUAAACCAAAAAUUGCUAGAGCCCUUCCCCCUUCUGAACAACAAUUUGAACUCUGCAGUGCUCUUUCAUUGCUGAAACCACCACAUUAGCAUCGUCAGUGUCUUGGUGACGAAUCUAGGACAGAUGGGGAUAAAUGCAGUGAUCUGAAUUAAUACUGGGGUGGCUAAUGAAUCCAGGAGCCAGGAAAUAAUUAGGAGAAGUUACUGCUCCUGACAUGGCAAAUAGAAGCUGUGUGUUAGAUGCCUUCUUCUCUCUCCCCUCCCACCAACCAAGAUGCCCCGGAAGACAGCUGUGCAGCCACCUGGGGUGGGGGACACUUGGAUGUCAGGACUUGAUCUUGGGUGAGGAUUCUGGGACAUUUAUGACAGAGGCUGGUGAACAGCAGGUGGAGACAGGAGAAUGGCGGUUCUUCCAUUGUAUAUCAAAGGUUCUUCUGUGCUUGGAAAAAGCACUGGACUGGGAGCCCAGAGGCCUGGGUUCAAGUGCAGGCUCCUACUGGAUCAUCCUAAGGCAUGUGGUUCCCUCCUCCAAUGCUCAAUGAAAGUAGAGCAUGAUCGAGGGUAGCAUGCACUGUUUGCUGCCCAGGGGCAGGCCCAUGCUAAAUGAUUUGCAUAGGGCUCUCAUUUAAUCUUCCCCCACAGCUCUAGUACUCUGUUUGUUCUCACUCUACCAAGUCCAAUUGUUUCAAUAGCUCAUUCAAGGGCAUGCAGUUGAUAGCAGAGCUGGAUUCAAACCCAGAAAUCAACUCAAAGGUCUGAGCCCUUGACCAUACCAUGUCACUGCCUUUUGCCACCAAGAGCCAGAUAAUCAUUGAUGUUUCUUCCAACACUGACAUAUUUUUAGGCCUUCAUGAUUCUUGUAGAUAUCUUGUAGAUAUCUGCUUUGCAAUAUGGGGAGUGAAAGGGAGUUGAGCUAUGCUUUUGUAAUUGGGUGUCUGAAAAGGCUGGGCCCCUAUUAUAUAUGAUCAUACGCUUUAUUCUUCCUUUCUAAAACUUAGCAUGUUUGCAAUUGAAUAAUUAAGUGUUUAUUGUUUAAUGGUUAUCUACCCUGCUAGACUGAGGCUCCAAAAAGAUCUCAUCUAUUUUGCUCACUGUUAUGUCCCCAGUGCAGAGAAGAGUGGAUGAUAUGUUGUGUUCGAAUUGAUAUCAUUUGACUGUGUCCCCACACAAAUCUCAUCUUGAAUUGUAGCUCCCACAAUUCCCAUGUGACAUAGGAGGGACCCGGUGGGAGAUAAUAGAAUCAUGGGGGUGGUUUCCCCCAUACUGUUCUCAUGGUAGUGAAUAAGUCUCAUGAGAGCUGAUGGUUUUAUAAGGGGUUUUCCCUUUCACUUGGCUCUCACUCUUUCUUGCCUGCCACCAUGUAAAACGUGCCUUUUGCCUUUUUCCAUGAUUAUGAGGCCUCCCCAGCCACAUGGAACUGAGAGUCCAUUAAACUCCUUUUUCU
Molecule: long non-coding RNA, 2756 nt
Filed under: Homo sapiens (human)
Lineage: Eukaryota; Metazoa; Chordata; Mammalia; Primates; Hominidae
Description: non-protein coding lnc-CRYBB1-4:4
Source: RNAcentral